GUGCGGGCCCCGCUCCGCUUCGAAUGGAUACAGUUAAGCUAAUGAUCUCGAGAGGAUAUCGUCCUGGAUAAGGGUGGAGCCUACGCCCAAAAACAAGAUUACCUGAAAGAGAAAAGAAAGGGGGAAAACACACAGAGAUACAGUCGGGGAGGCCACAUGAAGAUGGAGGCAGAGACAGGAGUGAUGAGCCUGCAAGCCAAGGAAUGCCAAGGGCUGCCAGCAGCCAUGAGAAGCUGAGAGACACAGAGAACGAGUCCUCUGCCAGAGCCUCCAGAAGGAACUAACCCUGUCAAUACCUUGAUUUCGGACUUCUGGACUCCAGAACUAUAACCCUCCUUCCUCCACCUCACAAAAACUCACAAGCUGCAACCCUUCUGAUGUCCACUCCCACACAAACCAGCUUCAGGCCUUUUUCAAGAGUGCAGGAAAUUCUACCCCCCAAGUAUGGCACCUUGGCAUGCUGAGUAUUUUAAGCUGAAGGAAACAGAGAAAACCACAGAAGCAGAAAGGUCUUUCUGACCUCUCUUGAAGACCCUCAUGUGACAGGUGUCCUGCCCUACAUCCAGAGAGAAGGAAUGUUCCACAGACAGACUAAGAAGAAUCUGAAGAAUCAGGCCUUACUAAGUGCCCUCCAGUGGAUGCUGUGGGGCACCACCUCCUUGAGGACCAAGGCACUCCAGCUGCCAGGAAUUUGGCUGCUAACCUCACACAGCUGAGCCUUCCAUGAAAAUUGCUCUCUGCCAAAGAGAACUUCCUAGUCCAAGGUCAUGUCUACUCUCCAGAGAUGUGACUGGAGUGAUUUGCACCCGGAUGCCUAGACUCGCCAUCUGCUCAAAGACUGCUCAGAAAGCCCUCCCAUGCAUUCCCCUGCUGCAUACCAGCCCACUCUGCCUGCAGCUGCUGUCUGCAGGACUUCAUAUCUAUGCCACACUGUGUAAAAGCUGUGCUUCAAGAAAUCACAAAAACAUUUUCCUGCACCUACUACACAGCCUGAGUGCGGCAUAAGUUGACCUUGCUUGCUAAGAAAUGGGGCAAGAAAUGCUUUUUUGUGUGUGUCAUGUCUGUUUGUUUUUCAAUUAAGAGAGGAAAGCAUUAGGCAGAUGGAAUGUACAUGUGAGGAUGAGGAGACAGAAAACAAGUAGCCCUUUCCAUCAAGAUAGAGGGUUUUCUGGGGUUGCUGGCUAUUGAAUGUCACUCCUGAUUUCUCUUUCCAAGGCACUGUACCACCAGCCUACUGAGAUUGUGUGGGAGCUUUCAUGGGGGUUG
Molecule: long non-coding RNA, 1266 nt
Filed under: Homo sapiens (human)
Lineage: Eukaryota; Metazoa; Chordata; Mammalia; Primates; Hominidae
Description: HSALNT0365425
Source: RNAcentral